UCUCGACUAGUAUAUCGGUUUAGUACACGCGCCUGUCAUCUCUGUAAUGCGUGCGCGCGAAAGCUGGGUUCGACUCCCAGGUCGAGAG
Molecule: non-coding RNA, 88 nt
Organism: Mycena leptocephala
Lineage: Eukaryota; Fungi; Basidiomycota; Agaricomycetes; Agaricales; Mycenaceae
Source: the annotation of a GenBank genome assembly